This is a long non-coding RNA of Vidua macroura (Pin-tailed whydah), 3318 nucleotides long. RefSeq lists it as uncharacterized. The transcript has 3 exons. Lineage: Eukaryota; Metazoa; Chordata; Aves; Passeriformes; Viduidae. The record is from RefSeq and is a predicted model, not a curated record.
GGAUCUCCACCUGAUCCAAAGCAAGGCUGAGCUCUUUCCUUGGGAGGUGCCCAGACACUGAAUCCUCAUAAUUUUAAAUGAAAGGGAAUGAAUGAAGCCCCUGCAGAAAUGGCUUUCAGAACUGUGUUUUGUUUGUUCAGAUGAAGUGUAUUAGACGAUUCCUUUCCUAAUUGGCACUCUUGGUAGUCACAACUUCAGUCCUGCCUGACUAGUUCCUGACAAACAAGCCCUAAAUUACUUAAACCCAGCUCGAAGCUUUCUAGGAUGACCUUUUUCCAAGGAGUGUAGAUGAAUGGAGGAUGAAGCACAACAUUUUUAUCCUAUAUGGUAGUUUGAGACAGAGACUGACUGAAAAUUUCAUCCUAGCUACAAUCUGUCCCAUUUUUAAAAUUUUCUUUUUAGGUCACAAGACUUUAAAUUCCUUUUUAUGGUGAACUUAAAGGGGAAGACCAUAAACAUGAACUAUUGGAUAAACAUAAGAUUUUGGCAGCCACACUCUGAGCCCCUGUUUUUCCCCACGCAGCCUCCAUGUGUUUCCGCUGUGGACAUUUGAUCACGGGCAGAUCUGAAAUACGUCACGAGAUUUUGUAACUGCCUUACAUAAAGAAACGUCAGCUGACAUUUUAUCUGCUUUUGGUCACCAGCUGCAACUCACAUUAAGGCCUCCAGAAACUCAAAUUAUUUGUACUUACCACUCGGAAUUGGAAGCACCUGAAGAAAUACUGUGAGUUAAACUACUCAGGUCAGAACAAGAUCAAGACAAUGUACACCUCAGGAGAGACAAACUGGAGAAAUUCCUGCUUUAUUCAAAGUGAAAUUAGAUUAUUGGGAAGGAGACAUCACAUCAUAUUUUGUCUUGCCAAGACAUAUGACUCUAAGCAAAAGCAAAUCAUCUGGAAAUUCUUCAGAUACUUUUCUACUUUUUGAGACGACCAAUUAUGCAAUGGCAUAAAAACCUGGCCAGCUCACUGGGCUUAAAAUCCAGCCUCUGAGGGAAACUGUGCCCUGGAGAUGCUCAUCAGGAGAUAAAGCCUCGCUGGCUUUGACUCCUCUCCCUAGAAUAUGCAGUUAGAGAAAAUGUAUAAUGAUCAAAAUUACAGAAAUAGAAAAUAAUUAGGGCUCUACAAGCCCUGCAGUGGUUGUAAGAGCUGAGAGCCACGGCCCAGAGAAUUUAUAUGUGCAAGGAAAGACUUCCCAUGUCUCUUUUCGGUGCUGGAGCUGUGUCAGUCAUCCCUCUUCAGGAACGUCAUCCCUUUAUUAUUGCCAUUUGGAUGUUUUGGGGAACCUGAAGCCAGCCAGGUGCACCGUGUGCCUGCAGAAACAGCCCUUUGCCAAGAGCAGAACUGGUGAUCACAGGAUCCUUAGGGCUGGAAAAGACCUUGUAGUUCAUCAACUCCAAGCAUGAUUUGCAAGGGGAUGUGUUCUCACACAAGAGUGUUUGUUCCAGGAACUGAAGUGUUUGGGUUAGGGACUAACUCAUGGCUAGAUUAAUUACUGUUUUUACAAGUAAAGUGUGUGAAUUUAUGGUUCUUGUUAUUGUCCUUCACGCAACUCAUCCUAUAUAAUGAAUUUUGAUGGUGUUUCUUUGUGGAGCAGUUGUAAAUUUGGUUUAAUAUUGACAUGUCUCUCUUCCACUAUUUUUCUGUUUAUCCAGAGGCAGUCCUGACUAUACUUUGGGAUGUAUUUCUCAUCCUGACCUCUGGUGUAGAGGAGAUAAAUCAUACAAGCCCAACAGAAAACAAUCAGCUUGUCUGUUCAGUGGUUUCCAGCAGCUGUGGAAACUCUGUGCUGGUUGCCCCUCUGUUCAUUAAGUAAAUGAGGGCUUUGCAGUGUUCUGGCGGUGUGUGUUAUUUUGGAGUUUCGUUUCAGAUGGCAUUCUUCUGGGGAUUGUUUUGGACAGAGUUGCCAGCAACCUAGGGCCAGUGGGCUGGAGGCCAGGUUUGGUGGAAAUAGCAGGGUUUAUAUCACCAGCACAGAGCUCUGUCUGGGAAGCUAAUUUUGGGCUGGUGCUUCUUUGAGGCAUCAGCAGUUCCUGUGUGUGACUGGUUCCAGCCAUCACAAAGGCUGUCACAGCCUUGGGCAGGCCAUCAGUGGUGCCCAGGCCAGCAGCCAGUGUCUGGGCUGGUGGGAAUCACAGUUCCCUGCUGUUCCAUGGAGCUUUUCUGUGCCUGCAGCUCUGUAAGGGGUCCCAUUCUGGGGGAAGAACACCUGACUCUGUGCAAUACCUGUGUUUCCUCUUGAUUCGAUUUCUGUGGGAAGGGCCUGAGUUGCCAUGCAAAGAACUCCCCGUGGCUCCUCUCACCACAAACACACUCCUCCACCCUCUCCCCUGGACUCCCUGAACUGGGAUCAUCCGGGGUCGGGCCCAUGUGGGGUGGCUGGGAAUAGAAGUGUGGAUGUGGCCAGAGAGACCUUGUGAACUUCCACUGGCUGAACGCCUGUGAAAGGCCGGAGUUCCUGCCCAGAUCAAUCAAAUAUGGAUUGUUCCACACAAAAUAAUUCUGAAGUGUUGCAACUUAGCUCCUGGGGAUUUUAAAUGUUUAUAGACUUUCCAGAGGGUAGGAAAGCGGGGAAAUAUUUACGUGUAGAUAAUUUCUGUUAUACUUGAGCAAUAGGAAUGCUGGUCCCCUUGCCCAAGACUCCUUGCUCCCUGCUCUGCAGCACUAAUGAAUGUAAAUGAGUAAAAGGAGGCCUGUGAGCAAUGCUGAGUGGAGAAAAAGCCCCCAGCAAAUGCAAAGCACAGCAGGAAUCACCAGAUAACCACCUUACAUCCUUUUCUGUGUGCUGCACCCACUGCGCGUGCAAUAUUUUCAUAUCAGGUGAUUUGUUAGCUGCUCCAAAACAAGUCUCUGCAGCCCCAUGGAGAUUUACAUUGCAAUGAUUUAGAUGCUCUACUUAUCCUUGGGCUGGAAUAUUUUGCCAAUUGCCAAUUACCUAGAAGUCCUCCUCAGCACAAGGCAGUGCAAGAUCAGUGUGAAAUAAAGAACUUACGCACAGCAUCAGAAUCUGGACAGUUAAAAUGUUCAUGGUGGGCAGGAGUGAGACAAGCCUAUCUGCAGAACUCCUCAGAUCCAAUGGUUUCAUAUACUGCUGGAUAACACUUACCUAACUUGGAACCACCUCCUAUGCAAAAAACCCUAUAUGACUUCAGGCUUGCAGUCAUCAAAAAUUGUGUUGAUUGAGAUAACGUGUUUCAUUCCAUACCCUUGGGCUGUUUGGAUUUCAUCCAGGUGAACAUUUCAAAACAUCCCCUUCCCAGGUGUUCUGAUUCCAACCUAAUUAGGAAGGUGAUUUUAAUUUUACUCUUUCUCAGCUGUU